CGUAAUUAGUAUUGCUU
Molecule: ribosomal RNA, 17 nt
Filed under: Acacia victoriae subsp. arida
Lineage: Eukaryota; Viridiplantae; Streptophyta; Magnoliopsida; Fabales; Fabaceae
Description: partial small subunit ribosomal RNA
Source: RNAcentral